UCGAGAGGCUUCGGCAAUGGGGGAAACCCUGACCGAGCGACGCCGCGUGGGUGAUGAAGAUCCUCGGAUCGUAAAACCCUGUCAGGUGGGAGGAAAUACCAUUCGGUUAACACCCGAGUGGUUUGACAGUACCACCAGAGGAAGCUCCGGCCAACUCCGUGCCAGCAGCCGCGGUAACACGGGGGGAGCAAGCGUUGUUCGGAUUCAUUGGGCGUAAAGAGCUCGUAGGCCGCUCUGUAAGUCGGAAGUGAAAGACCACGGCUCAACCGUGGAAACGCUUUCGAAACUGUGGAGCUUGAGGCCGGGAGAGGAGAUUGGAAUUCCUGGUGUAGCGGUGAAAUGCGUAGAUAUCAGGAGGAACACCCGUGGCGAAGGCGAGUCUCUGGACCGGUUCUGACGCUGAGGAGCGAAAGCUAGGGGAGCAAACAGGAUUAGAUGCCCUGGUAGUCCUAGCUGUAAACGAUGGGCACUAGGUGUGGGGGGAUCGACCCCUUCCGUGCCGCAGUUAACGCAUUAAGUGCCCCGCCUGGGGAGUACGACCGCAAGGUUGA
RNAcentral lists this ribosomal RNA (551 nucleotides) under uncultured Latescibacterota bacterium. Its description in RNAcentral is "bacterial SSU rRNA". It matches the Rfam family "Bacterial small subunit ribosomal RNA", at positions 355 to 897 of the family's 1533-position model. Lineage: Bacteria; Pseudomonadati; Candidatus Latescibacterota. The record is from RNAcentral.